This 167-nucleotide ribosomal RNA is filed under the name uncultured bacterium. RNAcentral's name for it is "partial 16S rRNA". It matches the Rfam family "Bacterial small subunit ribosomal RNA", at positions 355 to 511 of the family's 1533-position model. The record is from RNAcentral.
UAGGGAAUCUUCCACAAUGGACGAAAGUACUGAUGGAGCAACGCCGCGUGAGUGAAGAAGGGUUUACGGCUCGUAAAACUCUGUUGUUAAAGAAGAACAUAUCUGAGAGUAACUGUUCAGGUAUUGACCGGUAUUUAACCAGAAAGCCACGGCUAACUACGUGCCAC